GGUUCUAUAGUGUAGCGGUUAGCACCUUGGUUUUUGAGGAUUAAAUACCAAUGACCCCGGUUCGAAUCCGGGUAGGACCU
Transfer RNA from Ceraceosorus bombacis, 80 nucleotides. It matches the Rfam family "tRNA". From Rfam's summary of the family: Transfer RNA (tRNA) molecules are approximately 80 nucleotides in length. Their secondary structure includes four short double-helical elements and three loops (D, anti-codon, and T loops). NCBI's taxonomy places the organism in Eukaryota, Fungi, Basidiomycota, Exobasidiomycetes, Ceraceosorales, Ceraceosoraceae. The record is from Rfam.